Polypterus senegalus (gray bichir) is the source of this 270-nucleotide long non-coding RNA. RefSeq lists it as uncharacterized. NCBI's taxonomy places the organism in Eukaryota, Metazoa, Chordata, Cladistia, Polypteriformes, Polypteridae. The transcript has 2 exons. The record is from RefSeq and is a predicted model, not a curated record.
UACAUCCGGGUCACAGUUCACAGCGGCAUCUCUUCCGCCGACACGCGACGAGGAGGACACAUUGCAACCUGAGAAAGGCAAACAAAGGAGUCGGCGCUGGAGUGAAACAAAGACGAGAAGUAAACAUCCGUACAGCGCAGUCAAAAUGGUCCAACUUGUCCUUCCGUCCUUCCUGGAUGACGUCACAUACAAGUUGAGUCCAUGAUGUCACUGCCACUUCUUAAUUUCCUGUAGCCAUCUUUAGUUCUGUAUAAAUACAUUUGUACUGUU